Molecule: ribosomal RNA, 253 nt
Filed under: uncultured bacterium
Lineage: Bacteria
Description: partial 16S ribosomal RNA
Rfam family: Bacterial small subunit ribosomal RNA
Source: RNAcentral
UACGUAGGGACCAAGCGUUGUUCGGAUUUACUGGGCGUAAAGGGCGCGUAGGCGGCUUAACAAGUCACUUGUGAAAUCUCCGGGCUUAACUCGGAACGGUCAAGUGAUACUGUCGGACUAGAGUACUGAGGAGGCAACUGGAAUUCUCGGUGUAGCGGUGAAAUGCGUAGAUAUCGAGAGGAACACCUGCGGCGAAGGCGGGUUGCUGGGCUGAUACUGACGCUGAGGCGCGAAAGCCAGGGGAGCGAACGGG